GUCUUUGGCCCAUUCCAAGGCCAUGCCGGAGAGGUGGCACAUGACGUAGCCCACGCGCAGCCGGUCGCUGUAGUACAUUCCCGGGUAGCUUUGUAGGAUCAGCUGGCAGAGCACGAUGAACUCGUGGUACUCGCGGCGGUCGCCCGAGAACGUGGCCGGGAUGGGCAUUCGGCCUUCGUGGAGCCCCUUCGCCAGGACGGCCUCCGCCACCCUCUGCUGCUCUAUGAGGUCUUGCAUCCGGAGGUACAGAGAGAUGAGCGACCUCACCUGGGCCAUGAUCUCUGCCAUCUCCGACCCGGCCUGCUCCUCGGGACUCUUCUGCUCGUCCGACCCCGCCUGGCAUCACGCUGGACCUUCAAGACAAAGACACGGAGCCAGCGCUUCCCUGUGGAAUAUCCCUGGGGCGAUGAGGCCCACACCCCUCAGUCCUGUGCUGGAGGUGAACUUGGGGUCGGGAGUGGGGGGCAGGGCUACCCCUGGCGAGCAUCUCCUUCGAGGGUCCCCGGGGCUCGGCUGCCUGUGCCUUUGCCAGGACGUUGCAGGUGCCCCGUGCUCCUGGGUCCUGCUCUGGACAACGGCCUGUCAGCUUUCCUUCUGACUCCCGUUCUCCACGGGUCCACCUGCCGCAGCCCCGUGCAGCCCAGAGGCCACCCCUGCCUCUUCUCUGGGCUCUCCGGACGUGUAAACCUCAGACCUACCAGCGCAGCUGGAGACAUGGUGCGGUCUCCAGCCUCCGGAACAUAUCUUGAAGAGAUAGCUGUUGAUUGGGAAAUUCUUCCCUAACCAAAAAACCCAAGCCCAAACCAGAAAACCACAACUAACCCAAAUCCAGGAUUUAGUGCCCCUAGUCUGGGGUCUUUGCGGUGGGCCCUCUCCCCGACAGCCAUAGACACACAACCUCACCACCUUCGGUGCCCCGAGGCUUCCCGGUCGGUCGGGUCAGUUCCUUGCUUUGCCUCUGAGCAAGUGGCCCAUUGGGUUGGGGCUGCCAACGUGCGUCUAUGAAGGGUUGAGUGUUGGGGGGGCAGGGGGGCCCCUUCCUCGGCGAAUACCUCUCCCCGUCAGCUCACUUGUACAGUAAAGGAAAUCUGAUUUUAAAAAUAGAGCUUGGAAGAGGAGAUGAGAGGAUAUUUAGGAGCAGAGCUGAGCCUGGGGCGGGGGGUGGGGGUGGAGGGAUUAGGGAAGA
Molecule: long non-coding RNA, 1186 nt
Filed under: Sus scrofa (pig)
Lineage: Eukaryota; Metazoa; Chordata; Mammalia; Artiodactyla; Suidae
Description: lncRNA (ENSSSCG00005006317.1)
Source: RNAcentral